RNAcentral lists this ribosomal RNA (497 nucleotides) under uncultured bacterium. Its description in RNAcentral is "partial 16S ribosomal RNA". It matches the Rfam family "Bacterial small subunit ribosomal RNA", at positions 28 to 507 of the family's 1533-position model. The record is from RNAcentral.
GAUGAACGCUGGCGGCGUGCCUAAUACAUGCAAGUCGAGCGAACGGACGAGAAGCUUGCUUCUCUGAUGUUAGCGGCGGACGGGUGAGUAACACGUGGAUAACCUACCUAUAAGACUGGGAUAACUUCGGGAAACCGGUGCUAAUACCGGAUAAUAUUUUGAACCGCAUGGUUCAAAAGUGAAAGAAGGUCUUGCUGUCACUUAUAGAUGGAUCCGCGCUGCAUUAGCUAGUUGGUAAGGUAACGGCUUACCAAGGCAACGAUGCAUAGCCGACCUGAGAGGGUGAUCGGCCACACUGGAACUGAAACACGGUCCAGACUCCUACGGGAGGCAGCAGUAGGGAAUCUUCCGCAAUGGGCGAAAGCCUGACGGAGCAACGCCGCGUGAGUGAUGAAGGUCUUCGGAUCGUAAAACUCUGUUAUUAGGGAAGAACAUAUGUGUAAGUAACUGUGCACAUCUUGACGGUACCUAAUCAGAAAGCCACGGCUAACUACGUG